RNAcentral lists this transfer RNA (76 nucleotides) under Solirubrobacterales bacterium 67-14. RNAcentral describes it as "tRNA-Ala". It matches the Rfam family "tRNA". From Rfam's summary of the family: Transfer RNA (tRNA) molecules are approximately 80 nucleotides in length. Their secondary structure includes four short double-helical elements and three loops (D, anti-codon, and T loops). Further hydrogen bonds mediate the characteristic L-shaped molecular structure. tRNAs have two regions of fundamental functional importance: the anti-codon, which is responsible for specific mRNA codon recognition, and the 3' end, to which the tRNAs corresponding amino acid is attached (by aminoacyl-tRNA synthetases). tRNAs cope with the degeneracy of the genetic code in two manners: having more than one tRNA (with a specific anti-codon) for a particular amino acid; and 'wobble' base-pairing, i.e. permitting non-standard base-pairing at the 3rd anti-codon position. The record is from RNAcentral. Lineage: Bacteria; Bacillati; Actinomycetota; Thermoleophilia; Solirubrobacterales.
GGGGCCAUAGCUCAGUUGGCAGAGCGCCUGCUUUGCAAGCAGGAGGUCGCCGGUUCGAUCCCGGCUGGCUCCAUCA